Molecule: transfer RNA, 64 nt
Filed under: Ammothea carolinensis
Lineage: Eukaryota; Metazoa; Arthropoda; Pycnogonida; Pantopoda; Ammotheidae
Description: tRNA-Leu
Source: RNAcentral
ACUAAGAUGGCAGAGUAAGUGCAAUAGUUUUAAGAAUUAUAUAUGGAUAGUUAUUCUCUUGGUA